UUGACCUCAAAUCAGGUAGGACUACCCGCUGAACUUAAGCAUAUCAAUAAGCGGAGGAAAAGAAACUAACAAGGAUUCCCCUAGUAACUGCGAGUGAAGAGGGAAAAGCUCAAAUUUAAAAUCUGGCAGCUUCGCUGUCCGAGUUGUAAUUUAG
RNAcentral lists this ribosomal RNA (154 nucleotides) under Armillaria cepistipes. RNAcentral's name for it is "partial large subunit ribosomal RNA". It matches the Rfam family "Eukaryotic large subunit ribosomal RNA", at positions 1 to 153 of the family's 3401-position model. RNAcentral also lists the same sequence under 12 other names. Lineage: Eukaryota; Fungi; Basidiomycota; Agaricomycetes; Agaricales; Physalacriaceae. The record is from RNAcentral.